UAGGGAAUCUUCCGCAAUGGACGCAAGUCUGACGGAGCAACGCCGCGUGAGUGAAGAAGGAUUUCGGUUCGUAAAACUCUGUUGUUAGAGAAGAACAGCGCAUAGAGUAACUGUUAUGCGUGUGACGGUAUCUAACCAGAAAGCCACGGCUAACUACGUGCCAGCAGCCGCGGUAAUACGUAGGUGGCAAGCGUUGUCCGGAUUUAUUGGGCGUAAAGCGAGCGCAGGCGGUCAAUUAAGUCUGAUGUGAAAGCCCCCGGCUCAACCGGGGAGGGUCAUUGGAAACUGGUUGACUUGAGUGCAGAAGAGGAGAGUGGAAUUCCAUGUGUAGCGAUGAAAUGCGUAGAUAUAUGGAGGAACACCAGUGGCGAAGGCGACUCUCUGGUCUGUAACUGACGCUGAGGUUCGAAAGCGUGGGUAGCAAACAGG
Molecule: ribosomal RNA, 429 nt
Filed under: Bacteroidota bacterium
Lineage: Bacteria; Pseudomonadati; Bacteroidota
Description: Bacteroidetes bacterium partial 16S ribosomal RNA
Rfam family: Bacterial small subunit ribosomal RNA
Source: RNAcentral